RNAcentral lists this ribosomal RNA (410 nucleotides) under Liophloeus gibbus. RNAcentral describes it as "partial large subunit ribosomal RNA". It matches the Rfam family "Eukaryotic large subunit ribosomal RNA", at positions 333 to 632 of the family's 3401-position model. The record is from RNAcentral. Lineage: Eukaryota; Metazoa; Arthropoda; Insecta; Coleoptera; Curculionidae.
ACCGAUAGCGAACAAGUACCGUGAGGGAAAGUUGAAAAGCACUUUGAAGAGAGAGUUCAAGAGUACGUGAAACCGUUUAGGGGUAAACCUGAGAAACCCGAAAGGUCGAAGGGAGAAAUUCAUUCGCGUUUCGCAGUCGGCGUGAGGCGAUCGAGUGACGGAAUGCGUCUUCGGAUGUUUUCUGCACCUUUUGUUUUUCGAUCCGAUAGCGAACGCGUGCACUUUUCUCCUGGUAGGACGUCGCGAUCCGUUGGGUGUCGGUCUACGGCUCACGGUGGAGCCCGGAUGUACGGCUUGCCGUCACGUCCGGACCCGUGUGUCCCGGCUGACUCGCUCGACGGUAUACGAAAGGUUUAAGGCCGCUCUCGCGAGCGUUCGGCUCGUCGCAAGCGCGUUAAAUGUGUCGGUGA